This 519-nucleotide ribosomal RNA is filed under the name uncultured eukaryote. Its description in RNAcentral is "SSU rRNA". It matches the Rfam family "Eukaryotic small subunit ribosomal RNA", at positions 1161 to 1699 of the family's 1831-position model. The record is from RNAcentral.
AGGGCACCACCAGGAGUGGAGCCUGUGGCUUAAUUUGACUCAACACGGGAAAUCUCACCAGGCCCGGACACCAGAAGGAUUGACAGAUUGAUAGCUCUUUCUUGAUUUGGUGGGUGGUGGUGCAUGGCCGUUCUUAGUUGGUGGAGCGAUUUGUCUGGUUAAUUCCGAUAACGAACGAGACUCUAGCCUACUAAAUAGAUCGUCGGCUUACAAACGCCGAUGAGACUUCUUAGAGGGACAGGCGGCGAUUCAGCCGCACGAAACAGAGCAAUAACAGGUCUGUGAUGCCCUUAGAUGUCCGGGGCCGCACGCGCGCUACACUGAAGUGAUCAGCGUGCAUUUUCAGCCUACUCUGCCAAGAGUGGGAAACCCAAUGAACCUUCUUCGUGAUUGGGAUAGGGGAUUGUAAUUAUUCCCCUUGAACGAGGAAUUCCCAGUAAGCGCGAGUCAUAAGCUCGCGUUGAUUACGUCCCUGCCCUUUGUACACACCGCCCGUCGCUACUACCGAUUGAAUGUUUU